GUUCUUGUCUUGUUAUUUUGAGUUGUAAUUUCGAGACUUAGUUUCUAGUUGAGAGCUAUUUGUGUUCUGUAGUUGUAAUAUUGAUUGAAGUUCAUUCUUAUAUUUGGUGGUUCAUGGUUUUAAUCAUUUGUUUGCAUUUCUGUGCAUGAAGUUAUCUGCAGCUUGAGCCAUUAUUGUGUGAAUAAUUGUUGCACUUUUAUUGACUCGAACCAUGCUCGAACUUAGAAAUUUACAAUAAUAGGUUCGGCAGUCAACUUAAAUUGAUCAUGUGAAUUGAACAUGUAUCUUAAUUAGUGUAUCAUUGAUAAUAUUGUGGAACCAUUUGUUCAAGCAUUAUGUCAUUCUUUUGUAUAUAGCUUCCAGCUACACAACUGGAGUUGAAGUGAUGUACAUGUAGCUGUACAGGCUGUUCUUUAACUUUAUCCAGGGGUCCGUUGAAGACCGUCUGUCAUGGAUCGGUUGUAAAUUCUGUCAAGGACCGUCCAUUAACCGUCUGUAGAGUCCGUUAGACUCUAGGUUCAUCGAAUAAAAGUUCAUCAGAGAGACAUCGCAGAACUGUGUCGUUGUCCGUUAGUUGUUGUAUCUUGAUCUCGAACCCUGCGUUCUAACGAAUGCUAAACUAAAUCCGCUGCGAGGAUUAUACGACAUUA
This is a long non-coding RNA of Patiria miniata (bat star), 650 nucleotides long. RefSeq lists it as uncharacterized. The transcript is spliced from 2 exons. The record is from RefSeq and is a predicted model, not a curated record. Lineage: Eukaryota; Metazoa; Echinodermata; Asteroidea; Valvatida; Asterinidae.